Molecule: ribosomal RNA, 253 nt
Filed under: uncultured bacterium
Lineage: Bacteria
Description: partial 16S ribosomal RNA
Rfam family: Bacterial small subunit ribosomal RNA
Source: RNAcentral
UACGGGGGGAGCAAGCGUUGUUCGGAUUUACUGGGCGUAAAGGGCGCGUAGGCGGCCUUCUAAGUCGAACGUGAAAUCUCCGGGCUCAACCCGGGAACUGCGUCCGAUACUGGAAGGCUUGAAUCCGGGAGAGGGAUGCGGAAUUCCAGGUGUAGCGGUGAAAUGCGUAGAUAUCUGGAGGAACACCGGUGGCGAAGGCGGCAUCCUGGACCGGUAUUGACGCUGAGGCGCGAAAGCCAGGGGAGCAAACGGG